ACUAGAAAACCCAACAGUUAAUUAAUUGUUUGCAAACUCAUUAUAUAUUUUUUUCCUAGCAUUUGCUUUGUUAUUUUACUAAAAACUAUGUAUGAUGUUGUUUUUUUUUCUUUAUUUGAAAAUUUCCUCCCUUUUGUAUUGUUGGUACUUUUUUCUCUGGGUGUGGUAAAAAUUUAAUUUUGAAAUAUUCUUAGCUUUUUAUUUCAAGUUUUUUUUUUUUUGGAAGUUUACAGCUUUUGUGUUUUGCAAUCUCCAAGUUUUGAUUUUUAUUUGAUAAUAAUGUAUUACAGAUUAAACUUUGUGUUGUAUUGGUACUUUCUUUAGUGGGUGUGGCAAAAAAAUUGAUUUUUGAAUAUUAUUAUCGUUGUAUUUCAAGUUUUUUUGGACGUUGAAACUCUUUGCCUUGCUGUGCACUCUUCAAGUUUUGAUUUUUAUUUGAUUAUAAUGUAUUGGAAUCUAUUGUUAUUUGGUCAUUGUUAUUUUACUAGUUUUGUGUGGGUUUACAUCGAAUAUUUAAUAGGUUUGAAUAAUAUUUUUGAAAUUAUUGAUGAACACUAUAUAUAUUGAUAUAUGUUUUGUUUUAUUUUUCUUCUCUAUUAACACAGGUUAAAAAUGAGUAGCCAUGCUCUUGUAGUAGCUGAUAUAAGUACUCCUACCCCUGUAGUAGCUACUCUAAGUCCUAGUAGAAGGAAGAAGCAGCUUGCUAGAAUAUCUUGUUGUCCUCCUCAAACAUGGAAUCUAAAUGAUAAGGAUGUUGAAAAUAAAGAAGAAAAUAAAAAUGAGUCUCUUGAUGCAGCAACUGCCCCAAAUAUUGCAGCCACAAAUAUUUAUGAAUCUACAACCUCAUCUCAACUAAUUGAGUAUCAUACUCCAAUGUUCAAUGACCCUACAGGCCCAGGUUCUAGCUACAUGCAUACAAUUUGUUCUGCGAGUAUAUCACAUGAAGAACUAUCAUCACCCACUAAUGAUAGUGAUUUAGAAUGGAAACAAGGAAAACACUAUAGUGAAGAAGAUGAUAGUACUGAGUAUGAAAUGGUAUCACUGACAAAUAGUGAUGAGGAUGCUCAUGGAGACUAUUAUGAUAGUGAUGAAGGUAGACAUAUGAACUUGAAGAGGAUAAAAAGAGAGGGAGUGGAUCCAAACUGUAACAUUCCAUUUCCCCAUUCUGAUCAAAUUUAUCAAGAUGGUAAAAUAGUGCUUAGACUAUUCUUGAGAUUCCAAGACUAUCGCCACUUUGCUGAUAUUCUAAAAGAUUAUGCGAUUCAAGAAGGUUUUGAAUUGAAAAAAAUUAAGCAUGAAAAGAGUAGGCUCACAUAUGGUUGUAGAGCAAUUGGCUGCCCAUGAAGGAUACAUGCCUCUGUCUUGCCUGAUCUGAGUAACUUUGUUAUCAAGACUCUUACUGAAGACCAUACAUGUCAAUGUGUAACUAGAAAUAGAACAGCUAACAGUACUUGGAUUGGUAAGAAAUUAGUGAAGACAUUACAAAGGCAUCCAGAAAUGAAAGUAAAGGGCAUCAAAGCUCAGUUGAGGGAUGACUAUGGGAUAGAUGUUGAUAAUAGAAGGCUAUGGAGAGGUAGGAGAUAUGCAAGAGGAUAAGUUCAUGGUCGGCAUGCCCAAUCUUAUGGGAAACUUAGAAAAUAUGCAGCAAUGAUUUUGCACACAAAUCCUGGAAGUGCUGCAAUCAUACAAUCUGAGUUAGCACAUGAAAAAAUUUACAACGAUGAAGGUGAUUUAGUGCAAUCUGUUCCCCCAGUAAUGAAACCUCGGUAUAAGAGGAUGUUUGUGUGCUAUGAAGGUGUGAAAUCUGGUUUUCUAGCUGGUUGCAGACCCUUCUUUGGUCUUGAUGGUUGCCAUCUUAAAAGCCCUUACAAGGGUAUUUUAUUGGCUGCUGUUGGACUAGAUGCAAACCUCCACUUCUACCCGAUUUCCUACGCCAUGGUUGAGGCUGAGAACAAUGACAGUUGGAAAUGGUUUAUUCAACACUUAAUGGAGAAAAUUGGAGAGCGACAUCCCAAUGGUCAGCCUUGGUGCAUAAUGAGUGACAGGCAAAAGGGUUUAAUUGAGGUUGUGACUCAUAUACCUGAUAGUCACCAUCGCUAUUGUUGUUUCCACAUUGAAAGAAACAUGACAAAAGAAUUUGGCACUUCUGAGCUUAAAAACAUGUUUUGGGCAGUAGCUGAGACGGGAAAUGUUCAUACGUUUCAGCAAAUUAUGGACCAAAUCAAGGAAUUUAAUAAAAAUGCAUACAACUGGUUGACUAACAUUGAUGCAAAACAUUGGUCAAUGAGUUGUUUUGACACGUCUUCAAAGGUAGAGCAUCUAACAAAUAACCAUGUUGAAUCAUUCAAUGAUUGGAUUGAUGAGGUACGUUUCAAGCCACCAAUCGAGUAACUAGAAGGUCUUCGAAUCCAAAACACAGAAAUGAUGUACUCAAGAAAGGUCAUAUCUGAAAGAUGGAAUGAAAAACUAACACCAAGAGUACAGCUGAAGGUUAAACAAAUAUUAAGGAGAGCACGGCAUGCUGAAGUCAGACGAGUAGGAAAUAAUGAAUUCCAGGUUGACUAUAAGGGGAAAAGGUGCUCGGUCAUACUAGAUCAAAGAUGGUGUAUAUGUGGCCAAUGGCAGAUUCGAGGCAUUCCUUGUGUUCAUGCAGCUGCAUGUAUCAAUGUCACUAGGGCCAACAUUAAUGACUCUUGUUCUGAAUACUUCACAACUGAAAUGUGGAGAAAGACUUACGAACCAAUGAUACAUCCAAUACCUGAUGAAUCUAUGUGGAUUAGAAAUGAUUAUGAUUAUGAGCCUUUGUUGCCCCCAAUAAUUAAAAACCAACCAGGUAGGCCAAAAAAAUACCGCAGAAAGAGAGUGGCUGGAGAAGAAAGGGUUGUGAAGCCAGUUUCUAGUACAAAGAGGUGCAAAAAAUGUAACCAACUUGGUCAUAACAGUUGUUCAUGCAGCAUGACACCGCUCAUGAAAGAGCCAACAACUCCAACUUCACCUACAAGACGAGGCAACAGAAGAGGAAGUGAACAAGGCAAGGGACUAAGCAAGGAUCAAGCUACAACUUUUGAUGCACCACCAAUGACAAGUUCUGAACCGGUUAACAAAAAGAGAGGCAGGGGGGAGACCACGUGGUAGAGGUCAUGGAAGAAUACAUUAUACAACAAAUCAGGUAAUCUUUUUUAAAAUCUACGUCAAUGUUUAUAAAAUAUACAAGAUGAGUGUUUUUAAUUAAUUUCUUAUUUUAGGAAAAUUAUCAACCUCAAGAAAGUAUUGAAGAACAUACUUUAAAGAAUGCAGAGGAGCUUAAUAUACAUGGAG
This is an RNA transcript of Cannabis sativa, 3318 nucleotides long. RefSeq lists it as uncharacterized. NCBI's taxonomy places the organism in Eukaryota, Viridiplantae, Streptophyta, Magnoliopsida, Rosales, Cannabaceae. The transcript is spliced from 3 exons. The record is from RefSeq and is a predicted model, not a curated record.